This 885-nucleotide ribosomal RNA is filed under the name human gut metagenome. RNAcentral describes it as "bacterial SSU rRNA". It matches the Rfam family "Bacterial small subunit ribosomal RNA", at positions 8 to 928 of the family's 1533-position model. The record is from RNAcentral.
AGAGUUUGAUCCUGGCUCAGAACGAACGCUGGCGGCAGGCUUAACACAUGCAAGUUGAACGGGAUUUGUAUGGUGCUUGCACCAUGUAAUGAGAGUAGCGCACUGGUGAGUAACACGUGGGAACAUACCUUGAAGUGGGGGACAACAGUUGGAAACGACUGCUAAUACCGCAUAAUCCCUGAGGGGGAAAGAUUUAUCGCUUUAAGAUUGGCCCGCGGAAGAUUAGGUAGUUGGUGGGGUAAAGGCCUACCAAGCCGACGAUCUAUAGCUGGUCUGAGAGGACGAACAGCCACAUUGGAACUGAGACACGGUCCAGACUCCUACGGGAGGCAGCAGUGAGGAAUAUUGGGCAAUGGAGGAAACUCUGACCCAGCCAUGCCGCGUGAGUGAAGAAGGUUUUCGAAUUGUAAAGCUCUUUCGGAUGGGACGAUGAUGACGGUACCAUCUAAAGAAGCCCCGGCAAACUUCGUGCCAGCAGCCGCGGUAAUACGAAGGGGGCAAGCGUUGUUCGGAAUUACUGGGCGUAAAGGGUGUGUAGGCGGAUUUGUAAGAUAGUGGUGAAAUACCUGAGCUCAACUUAGGAAUUGCCAUUAUAACUAUAGAUCUGGAGUGACAGAGAGGAUAUUGGAAUACCCAGUGUAGAGGUGAAAUUCGUAGAUAUUGGGUAGAACACCAGUGGCGAAGGCGAGUAUCUGGCUGUCAACUGACGCUGAGGCACGAAAGCAUGGGGAUCAAACAGGAUUAGAUACCCUGGUAGUCCAUGCUGUAAACGAUGAAUGCUAGUUGUCGGCAAAAGCCGGUGACGCAGUUAACGCGAUAAGCAUUCCGCCUGGGGAGUACGGUCGCAAGAUUAAAACUCAAAGGAAUUGACGGGGACCCGCACAA